RNAcentral lists this transfer RNA (77 nucleotides) under Thermus phage TMA. RNAcentral's name for it is "tRNA-Arg". It matches the Rfam family "tRNA". Rfam says of the family: Transfer RNA (tRNA) molecules are approximately 80 nucleotides in length. Their secondary structure includes four short double-helical elements and three loops (D, anti-codon, and T loops). Further hydrogen bonds mediate the characteristic L-shaped molecular structure. tRNAs have two regions of fundamental functional importance: the anti-codon, which is responsible for specific mRNA codon recognition, and the 3' end, to which the tRNAs corresponding amino acid is attached (by aminoacyl-tRNA synthetases). tRNAs cope with the degeneracy of the genetic code in two manners: having more than one tRNA (with a specific anti-codon) for a particular amino acid; and 'wobble' base-pairing, i.e. permitting non-standard base-pairing at the 3rd anti-codon position. Lineage: Duplodnaviria; Heunggongvirae; Uroviricota; Caudoviricetes. The record is from RNAcentral.
GAGGGGUUAGCUCAACAGGAUAGAGCAAGGGCCUUCUAAGCCCUAGGUUGCAGGUUCAAGUCCUGCACCCCUCGCCA